CCUACGGGAGGCAGCAGUAAGGAAUAUUGGUCAAUGGACGCAAGUCUGAACCAGCCAUGCCGCGUGAAGGAUUAAGGUCCUCUGGAUUGUAAACUUCUUUUAUCUGGGACGAAAAAAGGCGAUUCUUCGUCACUUGACGGUACCAGAUGAAUAAGCACCGGCUAACUCCGUGCCAGCAGCCGCGGUAAUACGGAGGGGGCAAGCGUUAUCCGGAUUCACUGGGUUUAAAGGGUGCGUAGGCGGGCAGGUAAGUCAGUGGUGAAAUCCUGGAGCUUAACUCCAGAACUGCCAUUGAUACUAUCUGUCUUGAAUAUUGUGGAGGUAAGCGGAAUAUGUCAUGUAUCGGUGAAAUGCUUAGAUAUGACAUAGAACACCUAUUGCGAAGGCAGCUUAAUACGCAUAUAUUGACGCUGAGGCACGAAAGCGUGGGGAUCAAACAGGAUUAGAUACCCCAGUAGUC
This 460-nucleotide ribosomal RNA is filed under the name uncultured Sediminibacterium sp. RNAcentral describes it as "bacterial SSU rRNA". It matches the Rfam family "Bacterial small subunit ribosomal RNA", at positions 338 to 795 of the family's 1533-position model. The record is from RNAcentral. Lineage: Bacteria; Pseudomonadati; Bacteroidota; Chitinophagia; Chitinophagales; Chitinophagaceae.